CUACGGGGUGCACCAGUCGAGAAUAGUCUACAAUGGACGAAAGUCUGAUAGUGCGACGCCGCGUGGAUGAAGAAGCAUUUCGGUGUGUAAAGUCCUUUUCUGUGUGAGCAAUGUUUUCCAGGUUAGUAGCUUGGAGAAAGCUAUAUUAACACAGGAAUAAGCUCCGGCUAACUCCGUGCCAGCAGCCGCGGUAACACGGGGGGAGCAAGCGUUGUCCGGAAUUACUAGGCGUAAAGGGUAAGUAGGCGGAAUUGUAAGUCAGAUGUUAAAGGCACCGGCUCAACCGGUGUAUGGCAUUUGAUACUGUAAUUCUAGAGUAAGGUGGGGGAAGACGGAAUUCCUGGUGUAGCGGUGGAAUGCGCAGAUAUCAGGAGGAACACCAGAGGCGCAGGCGGUCUUCUAUACCAUUACUGACGCUCAAUUACGAAGGUGUGGGUAUCAAACAGGAUCAGAUACCCCGGUAGUC
RNAcentral lists this ribosomal RNA (466 nucleotides) under uncultured bacterium. RNAcentral describes it as "partial 16S ribosomal RNA". It matches the Rfam family "Bacterial small subunit ribosomal RNA", at positions 339 to 795 of the family's 1533-position model. The record is from RNAcentral.